GACGAACGCUGGCGGCGUGCUUAACACAUGCAAGUCGAACGGAAAGGCCCUGAUAGUGUGCGCUGCUCGAUUGGCGAUCGGGUGCGUAACACGCGAGCAACCUGCCCUGGACUUUGGGGUAACUUCACGAAACUGGGCCUAAUACCGGAUCGGAGCUGCUCCUGCAUGGUGGGCGGUGGAAAGUUUCGGCGGUUGGGGAUGGACUCGCGGCUUAUCAGCUUGUUGGUGGGGUAGUGGCUUACCAAGGCUUUGACGGGUAGCCGGCCUGAGAGGGUGACCGGCCACAAUACUCCUGAGAUACGGCACAGUCUCCUACGGUAGAGAGUGGUCGGGACUCUGCCCCAACAGGCACAAGCCUGCCGCCCCGGCGCCGGGGGCGUGAUGGCCCCAUUAGGGUUGCGAAGCGAUGUCGGCUGUGACGCAGCGUACCUGCCGGUAGUGGUUAAAGAAGCAACGGCUACCUUCGUG
Molecule: ribosomal RNA, 468 nt
Filed under: uncultured bacterium
Lineage: Bacteria
Description: partial 16S ribosomal RNA
Rfam family: Bacterial small subunit ribosomal RNA
Source: RNAcentral